This 252-nucleotide ribosomal RNA is filed under the name uncultured Bacteroidales bacterium. RNAcentral's name for it is "partial 16S ribosomal RNA". It matches the Rfam family "Bacterial small subunit ribosomal RNA", at positions 524 to 776 of the family's 1533-position model. The record is from RNAcentral. Lineage: Bacteria; Pseudomonadati; Bacteroidota; Bacteroidia; Bacteroidales.
UACGUAGGUGGCGAGCGUUAUCCGGAAUGAUUGGGCGUAAAGGGUGCGCAGGCGGCCUGUUAAGUCAGCGGUAAAAGCCCGGGGCUCAACCCCGGCGAGCCGUUGAAACUGGCGGGCUGGAGUUGGAGAGAAGUACGCGGAAUGCGCGGUGUAGCGGUGAAAUGCAUAGAUAUCACGCAGAACCCCGAUUGCGAAGGCAGCUCACUGGACUGCAACUGACACUGAGGCUCGAAAGUGUGGGUAUCAAACAGG